UAUGUAGGGGGCAAGCGUUGUCCGGAUUUAUUGGGCGUAAAGAGCGUGUAGGCGGCUAGAUAGGUCCGUUGUGAAAACUCGAGGCUCAACCUCGAGACGUCGAUGGAAACCAUCUAGCUAGAGUCCGGAAGAGGAGAGUGGAAUUCCUGGUGUAGCGGUGAAAUGCGCAGAUAUCAGGAAGAACACCCGUGGCGAAGGCGGCUCUCUGGUACGUGACUGACGCUGAGACGCGAAAGCGUGGGGAGCAAACAGG
This 253-nucleotide ribosomal RNA is filed under the name uncultured bacterium. Its description in RNAcentral is "partial 16S ribosomal RNA". It matches the Rfam family "Bacterial small subunit ribosomal RNA", at positions 524 to 776 of the family's 1533-position model. The record is from RNAcentral.